UACAGCCCAGGGUGAGGACUGUCUACAGCCCAGGGUGAGGACUGUCUACAGCCCAGGGUGAGGACUGUCUACAGCCCAGGGUGAGGACUGUCUACAGCCCAGGCCGUUUACUCCUAGCUUGGACGUCUCGUUCUGGCCCCAGUAUCGUACUCACCAUACGGCAGUGUGCCCACGACACACCUCAAACUGCGCACCGCUGCUGGUUACCUUGGGGGAUCGGCUGCUGCAGAAGAGCCCCCCUGGCCGCCGGUCUACUAGGAGCUGGGAGAGAGCAAUUUAGAUGUGGAC
Brienomyrus brachyistius is the source of this 288-nucleotide long non-coding RNA. RefSeq lists it as uncharacterized. NCBI's taxonomy places the organism in Eukaryota, Metazoa, Chordata, Actinopteri, Osteoglossiformes, Mormyridae. The record is from RefSeq and is a predicted model, not a curated record. The transcript has 3 exons.